GCAUCAACCCGGCUUGAUGGUUCUCUCUCCGUUGGGGAGCGAUGUAAAAGGGAACCGGGUGCGGUGCCGCAUUGCGUGGACAUCAAGGCCCGGGCUGUCCCCGCAACUGUAAGCGGCAUGCUCUGCCUACUGGCUGGUAAGUCAGGCCACUGGGAGGUUCUCCUGGGAAGGCUUGGGCAGAGUGGACUACCGCAAGCCAGGAAACCUGCCAUCAGCUGGGGUCGCAG
This 227-nucleotide non-coding RNA is filed under the name Acetobacter tropicalis. Lineage: Bacteria; Pseudomonadati; Pseudomonadota; Alphaproteobacteria; Acetobacterales; Acetobacteraceae. The record is from RNAcentral.